Molecule: ribosomal RNA, 465 nt
Filed under: Vreelandella stevensii
Lineage: Bacteria; Pseudomonadati; Pseudomonadota; Gammaproteobacteria; Oceanospirillales; Halomonadaceae
Description: partial 16S ribosomal RNA
Rfam family: Bacterial small subunit ribosomal RNA
Source: RNAcentral
CCUACGGGGGGCAGCAGUGGGGAAUAUUGGACAAUGGGGGCAACCCUGAUCCAGCCAUGCCGCGUGUGUGAAGAAGGCCCUCGGGUUGUAAAGCACUUUCAGUGAGGAAGAACGCCUGGUGGUUAAUACCCAUCAGGAAAGACAUCACUCACAGAAGAAGCACCGGCUAACUCCGUGCCAGCAGCCGCGGUAAUACGGAGGGUGCGAGCGUUAAUCGGAAUUACUGGGCGUAAAGUGCGCGUAGGUGGCUUGAUAAGCCGGUUGUGAAAGCCCCGGGCUCAACCUGGGAACGGCAUCCGGAACUGUCAAGCUAGAGUGCAGGAGAGGAAGGUAGAAUUCCCGGUGUAGCGGUGAAAUGCGUAGAGAUCGGGAGGAAUACCAGUGGCGAAGGCGGCCUUCUGGACUGACACUGACACUGAGGUGCGAAAGCGUGGGUAGCAAACAGGAUUAGAUACCCGGGUAGUC